CGUAGGUAACCUGCCUGGUAGCGGGGGGUAACUAUUGGGAACGAUAGCUAAUACCGCAUAACAUUGACUAUUGCAUGAUAGUCAAUUGAAAGGUGCAAAUGCACCACUACCAGAUGGACCUGCGUUGUAUUAGCUAGUUGGUGGGGUAACGGCUCACCAAGGCGACGAUACAUAGCCGACCUGAGAGGGUGAUCGGCCACACUGGGACUGAGACACGGCCCAG
Molecule: ribosomal RNA, 223 nt
Filed under: uncultured bacterium
Lineage: Bacteria
Description: partial 16S ribosomal RNA
Rfam family: Bacterial small subunit ribosomal RNA
Source: RNAcentral